AAUUAUCGGACCAUAAUCGUAGAGUUAGUGGGCUGUUUAUUUUUAUUAAUAGCCAUGACACGUAGUCGAUAACCGUUCAUAACAGUUAGGGUGUAUUGAGAAGAUGGACCGACUAUAUGUCGGUAAUACUGAUAAGUUGGUAAUGACUCGAAUGAGCAUCGGCUGGUAACUCUGAUAUGUCGAUGGUCUUCAAUCGGGAGUUAACCAAAUUGUUUGUUGAUAGUUGAUAGUAGCCGACUGUAGGUCGGUUCACCGAUCGUGAAUCGACGUAAUGUGUUCAUACGGUCGAUGUAGAAUCAGAGUCGGAAGUCGGUUGACUUGUCCCAACAGUUGCCCCCCACUUCUAAGUUCAAGAUGAUCCGACGUGUACAUUAUCACGUGGUCUGUCACAUUGGACGAAAGGAGUCAUCACGUAUUGCCUCGAGCCCCGACUUGACUGCCAAUCUUUUUGGAGUACGAGAGUUCUCUGACUGUUUUGUCGUUUUGGUAGCUGCAGAAUCAUUAUUGGGCUGUCAUUUCGACAGGACAAUUCGGUAUCGGAUGUCAUUUCAGAAAAAUAAUUUGGCAUCGGAUGAUACGAUUAUGAUUAGUAGAUCUUGACCAUGUGUCCGAGCAUCAUUGGGUCAGAGCUGUUCACGCAGAUGAUGGUGAGG
This 653-nucleotide long non-coding RNA is filed under the name Elaeis guineensis (African oil palm). Its description in RNAcentral is "long non-coding RNA (EGUI_LNC026202)". Lineage: Eukaryota; Viridiplantae; Streptophyta; Magnoliopsida; Arecales; Arecaceae. The record is from RNAcentral.